Molecule: non-coding RNA, 2435 nt
Organism: Rattus norvegicus (Norway rat)
Lineage: Eukaryota; Metazoa; Chordata; Mammalia; Rodentia; Muridae
Source: RefSeq, a predicted model, not a curated record
AUCACUGGUGGUUGCUUAAAGAGGAAAGGGAAGCUUGCAGAGGUUAAGGAAAUACCCAGGCCUCUGAAGGAGGAUGGAGAGGCAUCAAGGGAGGCAGCUAUUCCUUACAGUGCAGUGCUGAGUUCCGAAGGAAGACACUAUCUUUCUUAAGAAAACUUGUCUGCUAAGGAGGUGAGUUUAGUGAGAGGCCUCAGGUAAGUAGAGGGAGAAGAGCUCCUGAAGAAAAUCAAACUAAGAACUGUUCAGGAAAAAAAAACAUUUUUUUUCUAUUUAUGAAAACAUUGUGUUGAGUAGGGGUCUGUACAUCUAUAAUGUCAGCAUGGGGGACAUUGAGGCAGGAUGACCAAGAGUUAAAGGCCAGCCUGGGAUACCUAUACCUAUUUGUCAAAGAAUAAAAAGAAGAGAAAAAUAGAAAAUAAAAACAAAAACCCAAGAACAAUACAAUCGAAACCAGUUUCUUGCCACCUCUACCUGGGUAGAAACAGAAAGACCAUAGAGAACCUAACCUGAAAUUCCAAAUUCAAACAUGGAAGGGCGAGGGUCAAGGUCUGCUUUCAUGACUGAUGGCUACACAACAUGGUCAGUCAUAAUGAGGAGCUGAGUAUGUAAGGCAGAAAACUUUCAGACACUCAGGAGUUACGUGUGUCCUCUACCCAGGGCUGUCAUCCUAUUGCUAGUGAAACAGGGGUACCAUGUGUCUUCCAAGGCAAGUGGAUAAAGGAGUUUAACUGCAUGACAUGAAGGGAAAAGGAUUGUGUCUGUGUGGAGUUGGCCACAUGGUCUAAGGGAGAAGCUUGCUGGGAGAGAAGAAACACUGGUCCCUGGGUGACAGCAAGUGAUACAGGGAUUUUUUUUUCAUGGUCAACACAGCAUCUUCCCAGAGCAGAGAUGGACCAUGCAUUGGCUGCCUUAUUUUCUCAUGGGAGGAGAUGAUUAUCACUGAGAGAAAGGAUGGAUGUCUAGAAGCUGAGGAAGACAUCCUGAGAUGGUCAUGGAUAAAGUGAUACACUCAAUUCCACAUAGGAGGAAGAGAUUUCCCCGACUCUGUAAUCCCAAAGACAAUAGUAGUAUAAUCGAGUUCUGUCUGCUCAUGUUUUAUUAGCAUAUGUUGGUGAUAAUUAUACAUAAUAGGUUUCAUUAUGACAUUUUCAUACAUUUACAUACUAUAUCUUGUUCAUACCUCCCCUGGAUAUCUCUCUCUCCCUCCCCCCUCUCCCCCUUUUCGCCUCCCAUUAGUCAAAUUCCUCACCCCGUCUCACCUUCCUUCUGCUUUCUUAUCCUCUUUUUAGAGGACCUAGGCACCUCAACAAUGACCAUAACUAAGGAAGAUCUCCCCCUUCUCCAUCAAACUUUACCUGUGUACAGAAGGACUGGGACCCCUUGAGCCCCUUCUGCUUCUAUGACAUGGUGUUGACAAGCUCAGUGUUGUAGAGAUGUCAAUUAAGCAGGCUAUCCUAGCUGCUGUGAGUUUGAGUGAAUGACAGCCAAGUCAUUCUUGGAAGACGCCAUUCCUCACUACCCACCCCCACUCCUCUUCUUCCAUUCAUUCCAUUUCGUGAUGUUCUCUGAGCCUUGGGUUGAACGAUAUGGAUUUACAGCCGAGAGUUCAACAUUUGUUCUCUGUACUUUAACCAAUGAUGAAUCUCUCCAGUCACUGCCGAUCACUGCAAGAACGGUUUCUCUCAUCAACCUCUCAGCACAUAAUCCUGUGGUGUACGUGUAGCCGAACUCCUUCAGCGGACCUGGACAAGACACUCCCUUCUUCAUUCCAUCCCAUUGCAAGAUAUUGGAAGUGGCUAGAGAAGGCGUUCAAGGCAGAGCCACAAAAAAGAGCCAUAGCCCGUGCAGUUCUGCGUCUCAGCCUACAAGAUGCCAUCAUGGCCAUAAGCCUCCAAGCCAGUGCAAAGCAGAGCAGACCAUAGAAGAAAUGCUUUAACUCCAGAAACCAUCUGUGGGAUUAUUACUAUCUCUUUGUAUUGAGUACAUUACCCGCAGAACUAAGACUAUUGCUUUGAGUGAGGUAACAGAGGAAAAUUCUAGAAUUUAAAAUGAUCAGAAGAGGAGCAGAAAUAGCACAAGGCUUGUGGGAGAUUCCGACCCACUGAGAGGCAGAGCCCCGCGGAGUGUAGACAGACGCUGAAGGAGAGGAGACAGGAAGAGACUGGGCAAGAACAGAGUCAGUCGGUGGAGACUUCUUCCUAACCCGUCCGUCAUCCACAGAUUCUCAACAAGGGCUUUUCUGCUGUCCAUACAAUGAACACCAAGUCUGAGAAGCUCCAUUCACAAUUACAUCUUCCCAAGUUUUUCUUUGAUCGGGCUGCUGCUUAGCUAACAUUUUCAUUCACGAUUAACUUUAAAACCUAAUAAUUUUGCAAUUAUGGCAUCUGGUAAUCAGAGAGAAGAGAAUUGAAACUGAAUGGUGAGACACAAACAAA